This 254-nucleotide unclassified non-coding RNA is filed under the name uncultured Capnodiales. RNAcentral describes it as "partial contains 5.8S ribosomal RNA, internal transcribed spacer 2, and large subunit ribosomal RNA". The record is from RNAcentral. Lineage: Eukaryota; Fungi; Ascomycota; Dothideomycetes; Capnodiales.
AACGCACAUUGCGCCCACCAGCACUCUGGUGGGCAUGCCCGUCUGAGCGUCAUUUCAACCCUCAGGGCCCGUCCGCGGGACCUGGCGUUGGGGAUCAGCCUUCUGGCUGGCCCUGAGAUCUAGUGGCGGUCCUUCCACGACCUCCCCUGUGCAGUAGUGAUACCUCGCAGCGGGAUAGUGGUCUGGCCAUGCCGUAAAACCCCCUACUUCUCAAGGUUGACCUCAGAUCGGGUAGGAAUACCCGCUGAACUUAA